CAGCCGCCACGGGAAUACGAAGGGUGCAAGCGUUACUCGGAAUUACUGGGCGUAAAGCGUGCGUAGGUGGUGGUUUAAGUCCGUUGUGAAAGCCCUGGGCUCAACCUGGGAAUUGCAGUGGAUACUGGGUCACUAGAGUGUGGUAGAGGAUAGUGGAAUUUCCGGUGUAGCAGUGAAAUGCGUAGAGAUCUGGAGGAAUACCGAUGGCGAAGGCAGCCAUCUGGCCUAAUACUGACGCUGAGGUACGAAAGCAUGGGGAGCAAACAGGAUUAGAUACCCGUGUAGUCCCUGUCUCUUAUAC
This 301-nucleotide ribosomal RNA is filed under the name uncultured bacterium. Its description in RNAcentral is "partial 16S ribosomal RNA". It matches the Rfam family "Bacterial small subunit ribosomal RNA", at positions 509 to 807 of the family's 1533-position model. The record is from RNAcentral.